GGGGCUGUAGCUCAGUGGAAGAGCGCUUGCCUUGCAUGCAUGAGGCCCUGGGUUCGAUCCUCAGCACCA
This 69-nucleotide transfer RNA is filed under the name Ictidomys tridecemlineatus (thirteen-lined ground squirrel). RNAcentral describes it as "Spermophilus tridecemlineatus (thirteen-lined ground squirrel) tRNA". It matches the Rfam family "tRNA". From Rfam's summary of the family: Transfer RNA (tRNA) molecules are approximately 80 nucleotides in length. Their secondary structure includes four short double-helical elements and three loops (D, anti-codon, and T loops). Lineage: Eukaryota; Metazoa; Chordata; Mammalia; Rodentia; Sciuridae. The record is from Rfam by way of RNAcentral.